AGAGCCCCGACCAAAUCCGGUUUGUUGCCCAUGGGAUCCGCGUGUUUUUGCGGUGAGGGGAUAUUUUCAACAUAAGUCCUUCCUCUUUUGCGCUGUAUUUCAAUCAGCUAUUUUGUAUUUCUUUUUUUUAAAAUUCGCCCUAUAAAUUUGCGCAUGAGUGCAAUUUAAUCCGCGCCUAAACACUGCGUUUUGGGAGUUGGAUUAUUUCUAGUCUGAGUCCCUACGCAUUUGCGC
Molecule: long non-coding RNA, 234 nt
Filed under: Gossypium barbadense (sea-island cotton)
Lineage: Eukaryota; Viridiplantae; Streptophyta; Magnoliopsida; Malvales; Malvaceae
Description: long non-coding RNA (GBAR_LNC023373)
Source: RNAcentral